Molecule: ribosomal RNA, 253 nt
Filed under: uncultured bacterium
Lineage: Bacteria
Description: partial 16S ribosomal RNA
Rfam family: Bacterial small subunit ribosomal RNA
Source: RNAcentral
UACAGAGGUCCCGAGCGUUGUUCGGAUUUAUUGGGCGUAAAGGGUGCGUAGGCGGCGGAGUAAGUUGGGUGUGAAAUCCCGGGGCUCAACCUCGGAAUUGCAUUCAAUACUGCUUCGCUCGAGUACUGGAGAGGAGGCUGGAAUUUACGGUGUAGCAGUGAAAUGCGUAGAUAUCUUAAGGAAGGCCGGUGGCGAAAGCGAGCCUCUGGACAGUUACUGACGCUGAGGUGCGAAAGCGUGGGGAGCAAACAGG